RNAcentral lists this ribosomal RNA (383 nucleotides) under uncultured bacterium. Its description in RNAcentral is "bacterial SSU rRNA". It matches the Rfam family "Bacterial small subunit ribosomal RNA", at positions 30 to 416 of the family's 1533-position model. The record is from RNAcentral.
AUUGAACGCUGGCGGCAUGCCUUACACAUGCAAGUCGAACGGCAGCGGGCCUUCGGGUGCCGGCGAGUGGCGAACGGGUGAGUAAUGCAUCGGAACGUGCCAUUGAGUGGGGGAUAACGUAGCGAAAGUUGCGCUAAUACCGCAUAUUCUGUGAGCAGGAAAGCAGGGGACCGCAAGGCCUUGCGCUCUUUGAGCGGCCGAUGUCAGAUUAGCUAGUUGGUGAGGUAAAGGCUUACCAAGGCGACGAUCUGUAGCGGGUCUGAGAGGAUGAUCCGCCACACUGGAACUGAGACACGGUCCAGACUCCUACGGGAGGCAGCAGUGGGGAAUUUUGGACAAUGGGGGCAACCCUGAUCAGCCAUGCCGCGUGAGUGAAGAAGGCC